RNAcentral lists this ribosomal RNA (433 nucleotides) under uncultured bacterium. RNAcentral's name for it is "partial 16S ribosomal RNA". It matches the Rfam family "Bacterial small subunit ribosomal RNA", at positions 29 to 507 of the family's 1533-position model. The record is from RNAcentral.
AGCGAACGCUGGCGGCAGGCCUAACACAUGCAAGUCGAACGGAUCCUUCGGGAUUAGUGGCGGACGGGUGAGUAACACGUGGGAACGUGCCCUUUGGUUCGGAACAACUCAGGGAAACUUGAGCUAAUACCGGAUGUGCCCUUCGGGGGAAAGAUUUAUCGCCAUUGGAGCGGCCCGCGUCUGAUUAGCUAGUUGGUGAGGUAACGGCCCACCAAGGCGACGAUCAGUAGCUGGUCUGAGAGGAUGAUCAGCCACACUGGGACUGAGACACGGCCCAGACUCCUACGGGAGGCAGCAGUGGGUGAUCUUGCGCAGUGGGCGAAAUCCUGACGCAGCCAUGCCGCGUGAAUGAUGAAGGUCUUAGGAUUGGAAAAUUCUUUCAGCGGGGACGAUAAUGACGGUACCCACAGAAGAAGCUCCGGCUAACUUCGUG